CCUACGGAGGCUGCAGUGAGGAAUAUUGGUCAAUGGGCGCGAGCCUGAACCAGCCAAGUAGCGUGAAGGAUGACUGCCCUACGGGUUGUUAACUUCUUUUAUAAAGGAAUAAAGUGCGGCACGUGUGCCUCUUUGUAUGUACUUUAUGAAUAAGGAUUGGCUAACUUCGUGCCAGCAGCCGCGGUAAUACGGAGGAUCCGAGCGUUAUCCGGCUUUAUUGGGUUUAAAGGGAGCGUAGAUGGGUUGUUAAGUCAGGUGUGAAAGUUUGCGGCUCAACCGUAAAAUUGCAAUUGAUACUGGCAGUCUUGAGUAGAGUUGAGGUAGGCGGAAUUCGUGGUGUAGCGGUGAAAUGCUUAGAUAUCACGAAGAACUCCGAUUGCGAAGGCAGCUUACUGACCUGCCACUGACAUUGAUGCUCGAAAGUGUGGGUAUCGAACAGGAUUAGAUACCCUGGUAGUC
RNAcentral lists this ribosomal RNA (459 nucleotides) under uncultured bacterium. RNAcentral's name for it is "partial 16S ribosomal RNA". It matches the Rfam family "Bacterial small subunit ribosomal RNA", at positions 338 to 795 of the family's 1533-position model. The record is from RNAcentral.